UACGUAGGUGGCAAGCGUUGUCCGGAUUUACUGGGCGUAAAGAGCGCGCAGGCGGUCGAUCAAGUCGAGUGUGAAAGCCCCCGGCUCAACUGGGGAGGGUCACGCGAUACUGAUCGACUGGAAGGCAGGAGAGGGUAGUGGAAUUCCCGGUGUAGUGGUGAAAUGCGUAGAUAUCGGGAGGAACACCAGUGGCGAAGGCGACUACCUGGCCUGUUCUUGACGCUGAGGCGCGAAAGCUAGGGGAGCAAACGGG
This 253-nucleotide ribosomal RNA is filed under the name uncultured bacterium. RNAcentral's name for it is "partial 16S ribosomal RNA". It matches the Rfam family "Bacterial small subunit ribosomal RNA", at positions 524 to 776 of the family's 1533-position model. The record is from RNAcentral.